Andrographis paniculata is the source of this 7885-nucleotide long non-coding RNA. RefSeq lists it as uncharacterized. The transcript is spliced from 9 exons. NCBI's taxonomy places the organism in Eukaryota, Viridiplantae, Streptophyta, Magnoliopsida, Lamiales, Acanthaceae. The record is from RefSeq and is a predicted model, not a curated record.
CCUCCAGCCUCCAGCCGCUUUCCCCUUCACGCAAGAGUCGACGUUCCUGAUCAGAAAUCCGUCCCCCAGCCACCGUCGGUCUGCCGCCCGCCCACCUCGCCGGACCCGCCCAUCUCGUCAGCCAUCCUUUGAAUGGAGUCUGAAUCUUCAGGUUCUUUGUAAACUCUAAAUAGUGAGAUGCUGGUAAGUACUCAAGACGUAAGCGAGCACGAGAAGAUUUAACAAAAUCCCCAGUAGCUCCUAAACAAAUGAGUGUAUAUUGGUUGCAUUGUGAAACAGGAGUUCGGACAUUAAGCAAUAAAAGCAAGCAAUCGAUCGGUAUUUGCAAAUAUUGUAAAGUUAAGAUUCCUACUACUCAUGAAAGUACAAGUAGGUUGAAAAAUCAUUUGGUGAGAAGAUGUAAGAUAAGUUCACUGUACGAAGGAAUUGGAAAGGAAGAAAAAUAAUGUAUUUUGACAAAUGAGUCUCUAGGAAUUGGACAAGGAAAUUCAUUAGUUUGGUACUUCUUCAGUAAAAAAAGGUGUGCAUUGAAGCUUGUUGAAUAUGUGGUUAGUGAUGAAGUAUCAUUCCGAGCAGUUGAAGGAAAGAGAUUCAUAAACAAAUGAGUCUCUAGAAUUGGACAAGGAAAUUCAUUAGUUUGGUACUUCUUCAAUAAAAAAAGGUGUGCAUUGAAGCUUGUUGAAUAUGUGGUUAGUGAUGAAGUAUCAUUCCGAGCAGUUGAAGGAAAGAGAUUCAUAAAUUUUGCGCAUGAGCUAUAACCAAGAUUCAGGCUCCCCGGUCGACGAAAGGUUGUAGGUAUGGUUUAUGAUUUAUUCUUAGAGGGACCCCCGUGACCGACCGCGAACAUGUCGCCUUCCUUCUCUUCUGGCUCUGUAGGUAUGUCAUAGUCUCUCAUUCCAAAUGCGUCCUUUCUUCCCAUCUUGACCUAGUUAUUUAUAUAGCAUCAGGUCGUUUCUUUUCGCUUGGCACCCUUUUCUUAGCCAAUCUUUUUGAAGGUCUUUCUAAGUUUAGUACCCGUCUUGUAGAUAGGGAUAGUAAGAAAUUAGAUACCGCCGCGUCGGGCCCUUUUUGGUUCCUGGAACUUUGGUUCCAGCUUUAUUUUCAUGACGUGUUCCAACUUGGCCGUCCUCUUAUUUCCCCAACACCCGACAAAUCUUUGGGAUUAGCCCUUAAUCGACUCUGCCUAGGCCACGGCAACCUCCAAUCAUCCGAUCCCAUCAUAACCGCUAUUCUAGCCGACAACCGCAGCAACUCCCGAUUUUACGUAUAUAGGAGGUAUGUUGGCUACGCGUCUGGUCUUUUUUGGCCUUUUCCUGUGUCUUCACCCAUGGCCGAACCUGACCCUCUUCCUCAUCCGACCUUUUCUUUUGCCUGGGAUUCUGCCCUUAAACCCAGGUCCUUAUUUGUUAGUAAAAAAUUUGAUAAAAAAGGCCAAAAAUCAUUUUAUACUUUUAGUUAUCAGCCUCAAUUUUUAGCACGCCAAUUCGGCUGCUGCCAAGGCUUAUCUAGCCCCAUCGCCCGUCCCCACCUAAUACCUCAAAGUCCGUACGGGCGGGUCAUCCCUGAGUUGAUUUCUUCUUAUGUUUCCCAACUUACCACCUACAUAACUUUCAACUCUUAUAUUCCUUUCCAUUCUUCUCCCGAAACUGCUGAGACUUUCCGCGAAUGGUGGUCGGUCAUUUGGGCCCUACUUGCCCCCGAAAAAGAUCGGUUGCUGGGUGUUCUCCUGCCCCAGCCUGCCGUGGUGUUAGGGGCGGCUAGACCUAUUAGCGCCCGAAGAAAAGUAGCCGCCUCGGGUGCCGGGUCAAGCGCCCCAAAAAAAAAAGGAAAGCUUUCCAGAUCCAAACAGUCCCUACCUCUGGAACAGACCAGCAGGCUCUGAAGGACUUCUUAUCAGUUUGGAUGCCCGUAAGGACCCGGCCCCGUUUAGGCCCGACCUCGGCAGCAGCGACCGUCCAAGCCCCGGCCGAACCACCAAGCUUACCAGCUGACCAGCCUCAAGCUCUACCCAUCCACACGCAUACACCAUUACUUGUUUUGCCGAUGAUUAGUCGGGAGGAGGACCUGACUAAGAGGCAAUCCUUUCCCUCUCAGCCGAUGAGUGGUCGGGAAGGGGCCCCGACUAGGAGUCUAGGAGGCAAUCCUUGCCAGUACCGCUGAGAGACCCGACGCCUUCACCACUUGAACCGGUAGUAGCAAGGGUCUCUUAUGAUAGCGAGGCAACUGCUUCACAGAUGGGCGGACUGCCAGUUGAGGCUUCGGACUCGUCCUUUCUUAGCGAGGAACCAAUCGCACCUUCUGCAGCCGCCCCAACUGCAACCGCUCCUGCGGUAGCCGCUCAUGCUACAGUCGUCUCUGCUGCAGCCGCCCCCAUCGCGGCCGCUCCGAUUGCUGGAGAUGUCUUAGGUGCGGCCGGCACAACUGCUGGAAAUGUCCGCAGCUGCGGCCGUCCAAGUCACACCUGAUGCACCGGCUGCAGCCGCCCCAAGCGCAGCCAUCCCGAGGGCAGCCGUACCUAUUCCAGAGGCGGCAGGACGGGCUGUAGAACCACCUGCGGCCGCCCAACCAAGAGGUCCCUUGCAGGAAAUAGAAAAGAUUUCCUCUUCUGAUUCGGAGACUUCUGUUAACCUGGGGCCCAGGUCAGCACCAUAGCGACCUUUCGCAGCAGCCGAAGAGUCGGCUAUUGCGGUGCCCGCUGCCCGUCCUCCCCAACCGACAACGCUCCUUGCGCCCUCCAUAACCACGGUCCGCCCGGAAGGACAUCUUGAUUUAGCCCCUCUAUCAGCCAUUCCGAUUCCGGCGGAUAUUCAGGCCAUCUUUGCCCAGGCCGUCAACCGACCUUUCCCCGACUUGGGGUCAGAUUUUCUGGAAAGUCUUUUUCAGGCGGUUGGUGGCCUUUUAUUUCAAAGUCCUUCGGAAUCGGCGGCCGCCCCAAUUCUACAUCGGCUGAUGGAGAGAUUGACUGAACUUCGAAACGACAUCUUACUCGUCCGACUCCUAUCAGCCGAACCAUCCCAGCCAAGUGUGGGUCAAAUAAGUUUGGAAACUUCAUUGGCCAAAACCAGGGAAUCCCUUCAGCAAGCUACUGGACGGUUAGAAGAACUCCUCAGCGUCAAGACUCAAAUAGAUGAGUCGAUCCAGAAGAAGGAGGCAGAAUUUAGGGCGCUUGUCAAGAACAGUCCAUCCUGGAGGGUCACGUCGCCGACGAACAGCGCCUAAUUGAGCGAUACAAGAAGAAUGAGGCCGACUUAGAUUAAGAAUUAAAGAUUCAAACCCGGUCUCAAUCUAUCAGAAGAUAUCAGGCGGCUGCUGACAACCGACGGCUGUCCAGGGCCGAAGAUAAAUGGUCCCAAAUCAAAACUGUCCUGGGGGUCCUUUUGUAAAUUUUUGUAAAUUCUUACUUAGUAAACACUUUUUGUUUCUCCUAUCGACAAGGAUCACUUUCUGUACUCCGAAUCUCCAGGGACCAAAUCAAACUUACUUCCCUUAUAAAAAUCAUUUCCCUUUGUGAUAAAGCAAACAAACUUCGAAAAGAACCUAAAAUUGGGACAUACCUGAGGUAUUAAUCAAAAUGUCACACAAUCGACCCCAUGUUCCUUCAAAAAACUGGGAAGGUGUCAUUCAACCCUUCUUUGUGGGUAACCAUCCCGUCGGUGGCUAUGCUGAAGACUUGUUACACAUACUCAAGCAACUGGAUUUCAAAUUCAGAUUUUCCCAACGAGGAAGAAAGACCAUUCAUCGUUUUAUUCGCCUGAUGGAAAACGUUCUGGGAGGAUAUGAAACUCUUCGUGAUAUCCUAAGCCGCCUUCAUGAUAUUGAUCACCAUAUGGACUUGAUUGAACAUCACGUGACAGCCAUACUUCCAGACCUUGGUUGGGAUCAUAUAUUUUCCAAUCAGCGCACAGUCUUUUCAAGACUACGCACUCUUGUUGAUCGUGAACGACAGGCCAUAACAGACAUGAAAGCUCUACUAAUCAUGACUUAGAAGAAAUGUAAAAUCAAUGGGAACGAUACCGACCUGAUUUAGAAGACCUUCUUGAUGAGGAACCAGAAUUAAUUUCUAAUCACUGGGAUGAAGAUUCUGACUCGGAAGAAGGAGGUCCCCCGCACAUAUCAAUGUCUGAUAAUGAAUAAACCCCAUUUUGGGUCCGAACACCUUAUGUUUGGGUUCUGAAUAAAAAAUCUUGUUUUAUGCAUUCUUCUUAUCUGAAAAGGCAGGAAAUACCUCUUCAGAUAUCUAGCAUUAAUACAAUCAUGUACUCUUUUACCCUCUUGAUUCACUAUAAUAAAGGCACAAUUUUCAAUCUCCUUUUGAAUAAUAAAUGGCCCUUCCCAAUUCGGAGACCACUUUCCUAAUUGAUCAAUCUUCUUGUAUGUAGGAAGAAUGGUCUUCCAAACCAAAUCUCCUUAUUGGAAAGUCUUAUAAAGGACUUUCUUUCCAUAAGACUUUGCCCUGAGUUCAUUCUGUUUCACAAUCUGAUCGAUUGCAUGGAGUCGGUUGACAUCCAGACUCUCCAACUGCUGAACAUAACUUGUUGAUAUUCUUCAGUAAACUUUCAAGUAGUAAAACUUAUACGUCCAGAUGAUACCUGAAUUUCGGCUGGUAACACAGCAUCUUGCCCAAAAGUAAGUUGAUAUGGUGAGAAUCCCGUGGCCGAACUUCUGCUAUUCCUGUGUGCCCAUAAGGCCUGAGGUAACAGCAAAUGCCAUUUUUUUGGAUUCCCCUCAACCAUCUUCUUUAUAAUUCCAAUAAUAAUCUUAUUGGCUGCCUCUGCUUGCCCAUUAGCUUGGGGAUAAUAAGGCGAAGAAUGGUUUAUCCGAAUACCAAACUCUGCCAAGAAGCUUAGAAAUUUCUCCCCAGUGAAAACCAGACCUUGGUCGGUGGUUAUAGAAUGAGAAAUACCAUACCUAUAAAUGAUCUGAUUUAACACAAAAUCAGACACCCCCUUUUGAUUCACAUUUUUUAAAGCAACCGCCUCGACCAAUUUGGUGAAAUAGUCUGUUGCAGUCAAAAUAAAACAAUGAUGUUUGGAUGAAGGAGGAUGUAUUUUACCAAUGAUGUCCAUGGCCCAAGACUUGAAAGGCUAUGGUUUUACCAUAACUUGCAAUUCAGUGACUGGCAAGUGAUUCAACUGUCCAUGUUUUUGACAUUCUUGGCAACCUUUGGCAAAUUGUAUACAAUCUUCGAAAAUCUUUGGCCAAAAGAAACCCAAACGAUGAAUAGCCCAUCUCAUAUUCAAACCUACUCGAUGAGCUCCGCAGACCCCACUGUGUACUUCUGUCAUGACUUCCAAAGCCUGUUCAGACCCUAAACAUCUUAAAAGUAAUCCGUCGAACGUCCUUUUGUAUAAGACUUCUUCUAUCAACUGAAAUCGUAGAGCCUUUAACCGUAUCCCUAUCGGCACAUUCGCUCUUGGAUUUUGUAGAUACAUGACAAUUUCUGUCCUCCAGUCGGUCCCAUAUUCUGUUUCCGAUUCGAUCUCCGCACAAAUAUCUUUCGGGAUUUCUUUACAAACUUUUUGAGCUAACUCAUCUGCAAGUUGGUUUUCCUUCCUAGGGAUGAACUCAAUUAUCACCUCUGAGAUUAUUAAUAAAAAACGACAUACAAUAUCCCGGUAUCUGCGUAGAUGAGGAUAAUUGCAAACAUAUUGUUUGGUUACCUGAUUGAUUACCAAUUGAGAAUCUCCUCUUAUGACCAUCGAAUGAACAUUCCUGGCUAUUAAGGCUUCCAACCCCAAGAUUAAAACCUCAUAUUCUGCCGAAUUAUGGGUCAUGGCUUCUAAUUGCAGUUGUAAUUUGAUCUUUUGGCCAUCUGGUCCUUUCAAUAAGACCCAUGCACCUGAUCUAUUUCUAGAAGUAGAACCAUAAAAAAACAUUAACCAAUUUCGGGUACUCACAUAAGAUAUGCAUCCGAUCUGCUCUUGAUUAUCCCUCGAAAAGUCUGCCAAAAAAUCUGCUAUUGCUUGGCUUUUAUAACUGCCUUCAAUGGAGAAUGUUGCAAAUCAAAAUGAGCCAAUUUAAUGGUCCAUUUCAUAAGUCUGCCCUGCAUGGUAGAUCUUUGCAAAAUUAAUUUGAUAAGAUCUCCCUUUGAGAUAACCUCUAUUCUCCUAGGCAGCAUAUAAUGCUCAAGUUUGGUGCAUGCAAACACCAAUAAGUAACACAUUUUUUCUGGCAUAGUGUAAUUCAUUUAUGGUCCUAUGAGGGUCUUACUCAAAUAAUAAAUUGCCCUUUCCUUUCCAUCAUCACCAUCUUGUGCUAGUAAGCAGCUGGCCACUUCAUGUGUAUUUGCCAAAUAAAGUUUGAAGGGCCGACCUUCCUUGGGAGGCAUUAACACAGGUGGUUGAAUCAAGGCUUGCUUUAUAGCUUCUAAAGCUGUCUGCUGAUCUGGUCCCCAAUCAAAAGCGUUUGCCCCGCCCUUUAAUAAUUUAGUAAUUGGUCUGACCUUUCCUGCAGCAUUAGAAAUGAACCUUCUUAGAUAAUUUACCUUGCCAAAAAAACUCUGUACUUCCUUGACCGUUUUGGGUGAUCGGAUAGAUAGAAUUGCUUUGGCUUUAUUGGCAUCGAUUUCAAUUCCCCUUUUCAUGUACCAAAAAUCCUAAGAAACUUCCAGUUGGUAUACCAAAAGCAUAUUUAGUUGGAUUCAUUUUCAACUUGUACCUCUUCAUUCGUUCGAAGGCAUCUUUCAGGUCUCUCAAGUGUUCCUCGAAACUGGAAGAUUUGACGAUAACAUCAUCAAUAUAUAUUUCCAUAGAUUUGCCAAUAAGAUCAUGAAAGAUUGAAUUCAUGGCCCUUUGAUAAGUUGCCCCAGCAUUCUUUAAACCGAAUGACAUAACCGUCCAUUCGUAAAUACCUAAACCUCCUAGACACCUAAACGCUGUCUCAUGAAUAUCUUCUUCUGCCAAAAAGAUUUAAUUAUAUCUUGCAUAACCAUUCAUCAGACUGAGGAUUUUAUGUCCUGCUGCUGAAUCAAUCAACAUAUCGGCCAUAGGCAUCACAUAUUCGUCUUUAGGAGUGGCUAUGGUAAGAUCCCUGAAAUCAAUACAUAUCCUAAUCUUACCAUUCUUUUUAACCACUGGUACAAUAUUUGCGAACCAUUUUGCAUAUCGGCAAGGCCGAAUAAAACCCACUUUAAGAAGUUUCUGGAUUUCCUCUUUGAUUUGAGGCAUCAAAUCAGGACUUAUACGCGUUGGGGGCUGUUUAUAAGGUUUAAAACCUUCUCUAAUAGGCAACCGAUGCUCUAUCAGAUUUCUUUCCAAACCAAGCAUUUCAGAAUAAUCCCAAACUAAACAAUCAAUAUUGUUUUUUAUAACCUCAAGUAUCAUUACCUGUUGCUCCUCAGACAAAUAACCACUUAUCCUUAUUAUUUUGGAACCAAGUCGGUUCCUAAAUUGAAUUCCAAUAAAGGGUCUUGAGCUGAAAAGGCUGGUUCUGUCUUUUCUAACAAAUCUGGCCACCGAAAUUGUUCAUCUUCCUGGUAAUGAACAUCAUACAUUUUUUUAGUUUUUUCUGCCUUUUCCAUAAGCUGAUUUAAGUAAAACUGAUUAAUAAGUAAACUACAAUCUUCCAAAUUUGUACUAUCCAUAAAAGAUAUAUUAUAAGAUAAGUUUGGCUUUCUUAUGAGCCAUACAUUAGGAUUGUUCUUUUUAGAAGAACAUUGAAUUCUGGCUGGUGAAUCUAUAACCCUUCCUUGGGUAUUCACUAGCCAUAAAUGCCUGAGACAUUGGGGGUAUGUGAUAACUCCAAAUAGGAGUAUAUUCUUAACUUGACAAAACUGUGUAUUACUCGAAUUUUUGUAUAAAAACCAUCACAAUGAUUCAUCAAUGGCAUACAUUAUUGAUAUAUAUCGCUUUGCAUGAUCCAGAAUUUGUUGUUGAGAUUAUUAACG